RNAcentral lists this ribosomal RNA (423 nucleotides) under uncultured Thermoprotei archaeon. RNAcentral's name for it is "bacterial SSU rRNA". It matches the Rfam family "Archaeal small subunit ribosomal RNA", at positions 322 to 747 of the family's 1478-position model. Lineage: Archaea; Thermoproteati; Thermoproteota; Thermoprotei. The record is from RNAcentral.
CCUAUGGGGGGCAGCAGUCGCGAAAACUUUGCAAUACACGAAAGUGUGACAGGGUCAUCCCGAGUGCCGACCGCUGAGGUUGGCUUUUACCCAGUCUAGAAAGCUGGGGGAAUAAGGAGAGGGCAAGUCUGGUGUCAGCCGCCGCGGUAAUACCAGCUCUCCGAGUGGUGUGGACGUUUAUUGGGCCUAAAGCAUCCGUAGCUGGCUGAACAAGUCCCCUGUUAAACCCACCGAUUUAAUCGUUGGUGUGCGGGGGAUACUGCUCGGCUAGGGGACGAGAGAGGCAGACGGUAUUCCCGGGGUAGGGGUGAAAUCCUAUAAUCCCGGGAAGACCACCAGUGGCGAAGGCUGUCUGCUAGAACGCGCCCGACGGUGAGGGAUGAAAGCUGGGGGAGCGAACCGGAUUAGAUACCCGCGUAGUCC